UUGAUCCUGGCUCAGAAUCAACGCUGGCGGCGUGCCUAACACAUGCAAGUCGAACGCGAAAGUCCCGCAAGGGAUCAGUAGAGUGGCAAACGGGUGAGUUACACGUGGGUGACCUGCCUUCGAGUGGGGGAUAACGUCCCGAAAGGGACUCUAAUACCGCAUGACAUCCUGCCUUUGAACAGGUGGAGAUCAGAGCUGGUGAUCGCAAGACCUAGCGCUUGAAGAGGGGCCCGCGUCUGAUUAGCUAGUUGGUGAGGUAACGGCUCACCAAGGCAACGAUCAGUAUCCGGCCUGAGAGGUCGGACGGACACACUGGGACUGAGACACGGCCCAGACUCCUACGGGAGGCUGCAGUGGGGAAUUGUUCGCAAUGGGCGCAAGCCUGACGACGCAACGCCGUGUGGAGGAUGAAGACCUUCGGGUCGUAAACUCCUUUCGAUCGAGACGAAUGGCUUCCGGGCGAAUAUCCCGGGAGAUUGACGGUACCGAGAGAAGAAGCUCCGGCUAACUCCGUGCCAGCAGCCGCGGUAAUAAGGU
This 537-nucleotide ribosomal RNA is filed under the name uncultured Acidobacteriota bacterium. Its description in RNAcentral is "bacterial SSU rRNA". It matches the Rfam family "Bacterial small subunit ribosomal RNA", at positions 13 to 529 of the family's 1533-position model. Lineage: Bacteria; Pseudomonadati; Acidobacteriota. The record is from RNAcentral.